Molecule: ribosomal RNA, 253 nt
Filed under: uncultured bacterium
Lineage: Bacteria
Description: partial 16S ribosomal RNA
Rfam family: Bacterial small subunit ribosomal RNA
Source: RNAcentral
GACAGAGGGUGCAAACGUUGUUCGGAAUUACUGGGCGUAAAGCGCGUGUAGGCGGCCCUGCAAGUCGGAUGUGAAAUCCCACGGCUCAACCGUGGAAGUGCAUUCGAAACUGCAGGGCUAGAGUCCUGGAGAGGAAGGUGGAAUUCCUGGUGUAGCGGUGAAAUGCGCAGAUAUCAGGAGGAACACCGGUGGCGAAGGCGGGUCUCUGGGCCGAUACUGACGCUGAGGAGCGAAAGCGUGGGGAGCAAACAGG